UAUGCUGCAGCUGUUCUCUUCCGCAUCUCUGAGGACAAGAGUUCAGACUACAGGAAGCGUGUGUCGGUGGAGCUCACCCAUUCCCUCUUCAAACAUGACCCUGCAGCUUGGGAAAUGGCACAUGCCGCCAUGCCACUCGACCCUGGAUAUAUACCAGAUGAUCUGGAUGCAGUUUACCCUCCAUAUGGUUACUCUGAUUUACCCAUGGAUGGCCUCCCGCUGGACGCUGAGCUACAUGAGCAAUACAUGCCAGAAAUGACCUAUGACCCUCGACAGGUGUACCCAAAUCCUCUUUAACAACACUGCCAGCAGUCUUCAGGUCAAAUGAAGUGGAUGAUGAAGAUGGAGACUACAAAUCAGUUUGUUCCCUGCAAAAAAACACGGAGCAGGGCUUGAACUGUGCAGUGCUCGAACGAAAGAAGAACAAAACACACGACUUGCUUUAGUUCACCACCGGUCUGUUUGUGACGUGAACUCUAAGCACUGCCUAACUCAUCUUGUUAUCUUGUGCUACUAACAGAGUGACAAAGCCUAAAAGUGUGGUGACGCGAUAAGCAUGUAAUCAUAACAUGUACAUUGUGUACUUUAUAUUGUUUGUCCAAAGAUGUCCAGACAACUCCGUCCUAGAAAUGUAGCAUAGCUAGUUAGCGGCUCAGCCACACGAGGGUUCGUUUUCCUUUGCGUUCUGUGUAUUUGUGGCUCUGAGGCAUUGCUACUGAGUAGAAAAUAAACAAAAGCAACAACAAAACCUACAUCUAAAAACAGAAACUCGUUUGUAUUUUCAUAAUCUCACUAUUAUAAGAUGACAUUUGUUGACAUUGAUAUGUUGUCCUGCAAACCUCUUCUAACAGGCCAAGGGCAGGAUUUCUUCUGUUUGUGCUUGAUUUCUUUAUUGUGUUUAAGAGACAAACUGAUAUUCAGUUGGAAGAGAAAGUUUGUGGCGUAUGAUUUCAUGUAAAGACAUUUUAGCAGGCAUUGAUGGAUGACAGAUCUGUACACAUUACUCACAGCUAUAACAUACAAAAGUAUUUGGACACAAAUUCCGAAUAAACCAAUAAAAAAU
Molecule: long non-coding RNA, 1063 nt
Organism: Sinocyclocheilus rhinocerous
Lineage: Eukaryota; Metazoa; Chordata; Actinopteri; Cypriniformes; Cyprinidae
Exons: 4
Source: RefSeq, a predicted model, not a curated record